CGCAAGCCUGACGGAGCAAGACCGCGUGGGGGAGGAAUGCCUUAGGGUUGUAAACCCCUUUUAUCUGGGAAGAACAAAAUGACGGUACCAGAUGAAUAAGCCUCGGCUAACUCCGUGCCAGCAGCCGCGGUAAUACGGAGGAGGCAAGCGUUAUCCGGAAUUAUUGGGCGUAAAGAGUCCGUAGGUGGUUCAUCAAGUCUGCUGUUAAAGCGUGCAGCUCAACUGCAUAUAGGCAGUGGAAACUGUUGAACUAGAGUAUGGUAGGGGUAGGGGGAAUUCCCAGUGUAGCGGUGAAAUGCGUAGAGAUUGGGAAGAACAUCGGUGGCGAAAGCGCUUUGCUAGACCGAAACUGACACUCAGGGACGAAAGCUAGGGGAGCG
This 380-nucleotide ribosomal RNA is filed under the name uncultured cyanobacterium. RNAcentral's name for it is "bacterial SSU rRNA". It matches the Rfam family "Bacterial small subunit ribosomal RNA", at positions 376 to 770 of the family's 1533-position model. The record is from RNAcentral. Lineage: Bacteria; Bacillati; Cyanobacteriota.